AGGUUAGGACUUUUGCAAUAUUUUGAUAUUAUUUAAUAUUGCACUCGUCCCGGCCUGU
Molecule: microRNA precursor, 58 nt
Filed under: Saccoglossus kowalevskii
Lineage: Eukaryota; Metazoa; Hemichordata; Enteropneusta; Harrimaniidae
Description: Sko-Mir-92-o12_pre stem-loop
Source: RNAcentral